CCUACGGGAGGCAGCAGUGGGGAAUAUUGGGCAAUGGAGGCAACUCUGACCCAGCAACGCCGCGUGAAUGAUGAAGGUCCUCGGAUUGUAAAGUUCUUUUCUAAGGGAAGUAGAAAGUGACGGUACCUUAGCUAUAAGCCUCGCCUAACUACGUGCCAGCAGCAGCGGUAUUACGGAGGAGGCAAGCGUUAUCCGGAAUCACUGGUCGUAAAGGGUGCGUAGGUGGUUCAGCAAGUUAGUAGCGUAACUCCGGGGCUCAACCUCGGCACUGCUACUAAAACUGUUGGACUUGAGUGCAGGAGGGGCAACUGGAAUUCGUGGUGUAGCGGUGGAAUGCGUAGAUAUUAGGAGGAACACCAAUGGCGAAGGCGAGUUGCUGGACUGUAACUGACACUGAGGCACGAAAGCGUGGGGAGCAAACAGGAUUAGAUACCCUUGUAGUC
RNAcentral lists this ribosomal RNA (443 nucleotides) under uncultured bacterium. Its description in RNAcentral is "partial 16S ribosomal RNA". It matches the Rfam family "Bacterial small subunit ribosomal RNA", at positions 338 to 795 of the family's 1533-position model. The record is from RNAcentral.